UUAAUUAUGUUACUUAAGAUGUCUAGUCAUGUAUUAUUUUACCUAGUUAAGUAUGUAUAUGUUAGUAACUUGAUUAGAAGGAAGGUUAUAUGACAAAUAAAAUAUCUAAGUAAAUAGGAGGACUAAACUUGUUAAAAGGUUGAAAGUUUAAUAAAUAAAAGAAAAAAAAAAUAAAAACACACACCCUGGUGUGAUGGCGUGGAUCGAUCAGAGCAAAGGGGGGAGAAGACAAACCCUAACUUCAUGAAAUUCUCAAGAAUUGAAAGAGAUUAGGAGCCCAAACUAAUGCAUGAACUCGAAACCUCAAUCAUCUAAGCUUGUACAACAAGCGGAACGUGUCAAGGAGAGGUCAAGCAUAGGAGGAUAACGGGUCAAGAUAAGGCAAGAUGACAAAUACACUUAUUGGAGUACUCGAGGUAAGUGAAUUUCGAUUCACUUUUUAGUAGGUUUAAUAGAUUUUAAUACUUAUGUUUACGAAACAUCAUGAAAGAACAUGUAAUAAUCAGAAGUACAAAGCCAAUAAUGCCUCAUUAUUGAAGAAGGUUGUAUUUAAGCCGAAAGUAAAUUGGUGGGUUUAAACGGGUCGAAUUUUAUGUGCAUAUGUUGCGUAAUGAAAUGAAAUUCGUUAUGGUUAAGACCUUGGGUAAGAAUUUUAGUCAUUAUGUAAGGGGAACAUUUCCCGGACCAUUAGGUACAAGUUUUAUAUGAUUCGGUUGUCGGUCAAUGAAUGAACGGAUUGUUUCGUUUUAGUGUAGGAAAUUUUAUAAGUAUAUGUGUAUAGGAAUCCAAAGGCCACGUGGGUUGAAUCGUAGAUUGUCUAUACUAUGUAAAGUUUUGAAUGUGACAUUCCGACAUAAACCUACAUGUAAAAGAAGCUUGUGUAUAUAUUCGUGAUUAAUUGAUUGUGCGAAGGAAGGAACAUUGGCAUGAAUGAAGGUACGCACAUAUAUAUAUAAGUGUAUAUAUAUAUAUAUAUAUAUAUGUAUGUAUGUAUGAUAAUAAGUACGUAGGUGUGAAUGUAUGUGUGAAUGAAUGUUCAAUGCUUAAGACAUAUGCAUGAACGUAUCAAAGGGUUCGAGUAUUUAUGGAUACUAAUGAUGUGCGUUGAGUUGGAAUGUAAUGUAGGUAUGGGGUCGUUGGCUUCAUGAAGAAAUGGAGCUGGAUUUGGAUAAGAGUAUUUAAGAAAGCGCUUGGACAAUUCCACGACUACUUUAUAGAAUGCUCUACGAAAUUUUAUUAUAUAGUUUAAUGUUGAAUGGUAUGUUAAUAACUAAUGGUUUGGUUGUACGUGGUGUCCACAGGUAUCGCUUGGGUUUUCUCUACUUUUAUUGAAGUGAAGCGGACUUAGUUCGAGUUGAGAGCAAGGAUUGUACGGGGUAGAAUGGUCACAUAGUGUAACUCAUAUAGGUUUUGAAGUAUUAAUGUUAUAAAACGUUAUAAAUCCGUUUUAAUGAAUAUAUGGCAUUUCGCAUUUGAACUUU
Molecule: long non-coding RNA, 1481 nt
Organism: Helianthus annuus (common sunflower)
Lineage: Eukaryota; Viridiplantae; Streptophyta; Magnoliopsida; Asterales; Asteraceae
Exons: 2
Source: RefSeq, a predicted model, not a curated record